AUGAACAUGAGGGCUUUUGCUCAGUUUCUCGGCCUACUGCUGUUUUUGCUCCCAGGUGCCAGAUGUGACAUCCAGAUGACCCAUUCUCCAUCCUCCCUGUCUGCAUAUGUAGGAGACAGAAUCACAAUCACUUGCCAUGCCAGUCAAGACAUUAGCACUACAUUAUACUGGUAUCAGCAGAAACCAGGAAAAGCCCCUAAACUCCUGAUCUAUGGUGCUAACAAUUUGCAAUCAGGGCUCCCCUCCAGGUUCAGUGGCAGUGGAUCUGGGACAGAUUAUUCUCUCACCAUCAGCAGCCUGGAGUCUGAAGAUGUUGCAAUUUAUUACCGUCAACAAAUUUAUGGUACACCUCACACAUAA
Molecule: non-coding RNA, 360 nt
Organism: Castor canadensis (American beaver)
Lineage: Eukaryota; Metazoa; Chordata; Mammalia; Rodentia; Castoridae
Source: the annotation of a RefSeq genome assembly